Molecule: ribosomal RNA, 498 nt
Filed under: uncultured bacterium
Lineage: Bacteria
Description: partial 16S ribosomal RNA
Rfam family: Bacterial small subunit ribosomal RNA
Source: RNAcentral
AUUGAACGCUGGCGGCAUGCCUUACACAUGCAAGUCGAACGGUAACAGGUCUUCGGAUGCUGACGAGUGGCGAACGGGUGAGUAAUACAUCGGAACGUGCCUAGUAGUGGGGGAUAACUACUCGAAAGAGUGGCUAAUACCGCAUGAGAUCUACGGAUGAAAGCAGGGGAGCGCAAGACCUUGUGCUAAUAGAGCGGCCGAUGGCAGAUUAGGUAGUUGGUGGGAUAAAAGCUUACCAAGCCGACGAUCUGUGGCUGGUCUGAGAGGACGAUCAGCCACACUGGGACUGAGACACGGCCCAGACUCCUACGGGAGGCAGCAGUGGGGAAUUUUGGACAAUGGGCGCAAGCCUGAUCCAGCAAUGCCGCGUGCAGGAUGAAGGCCUUCGGGUUGUAAACUGCUUUUGUACGGAACGAAAAGCCCUGGGUUAAUACCCUGGGGUCAUGACGGUACCGUAAGAAUAAGCACCGGCUAACUACGUGCCAGCCGCCGCCGUAA